RNAcentral lists this transfer RNA (73 nucleotides) under Bacteroidota bacterium. Its description in RNAcentral is "Bacteroidetes bacterium (activated sludge metagenome) tRNA-Asn". It matches the Rfam family "tRNA". From Rfam's summary of the family: Transfer RNA (tRNA) molecules are approximately 80 nucleotides in length. Their secondary structure includes four short double-helical elements and three loops (D, anti-codon, and T loops). RNAcentral also lists the same sequence under 1 other name. Lineage: Bacteria; Pseudomonadati; Bacteroidota. The record is from RNAcentral.
GCCUCUGAAGCUGAAGUGGAUAAGCGGCGGUCUGUUAAACCGAGGGAAGCAGGUUCAAAUCCUGCCGGAGGCG